This 673-nucleotide ribosomal RNA is filed under the name Scrippsiella kirschiae. RNAcentral's name for it is "LSU rRNA". It matches the Rfam family "Eukaryotic large subunit ribosomal RNA", at positions 1 to 662 of the family's 3401-position model. The record is from RNAcentral. Lineage: Eukaryota; Dinophyceae; Peridiniales; Peridiniaceae.
AAGACAUGAAGUUAGGUCAGCAAACCCGCUGAAUUUAAGCAUAUAAGUAAGCGGAGGAAAAGAAACUAAAUAGGAUUCCCUCAGUAAUGGCGAAUGAACAGGGAUGAGCUCAGUAUGGAAAUCGGGGCCUGUGGCCUUGAAUUGUAAUCUGGAGAUGUACCACCAACUGGGGCGCAGAUGUAAGCCUCUUGGAAAAGAGCAUCAAUGAGGGUGAGAGUCCCGCUUGGCAUCUGCAGUCCCCAGUGCACGGUGUACCUUCUAAGAGUCACGUUCCUCGGGAUUGGAGCGCAAAGCGGGUGGUAAGUUUCAUCUAAAGCUAAAUAUUGUUUCGAGACCGAUAGCAAACAAGUACCAUGAGGGAAAGGUGAAAAGGACUUUGAAAAGAGAGUUAAAAGUGCCUGAAUUUGCUGAAAUGGAAGCGAAUGGAACCAGCGAAACUUGGUGAGAUUGCUGCGUGUCAAUUCGACUGCUUGCUGCUGCAAUGCAAGUGUGGUAGCAGGUUUUGAACAGGACAUAUGCGGUGCUUCUUGCCUCGUGUGUCACCGUCAAUUUGCAGCUGGGGAAAACUUCAGGGACAUGGUAGCUCGUCUCCGGGUGGGUGAACGUGUUUGCUGGAACUGAUUUGCGGAUUGUUUGGUGACUAAAUGGUCCCAUUKGACCCGUCUUGAAACAC